GAGAUGCUUACUCAACUAGAGCUUCAAGUCGAUGGUGGUUUCAAUCAGAAUAUGAACUCAAAGGCAUUUUCAGCUCCCAGCUCGAGUGCCCUGGACUUUCCCACACUUCCUGUGCAAGAUAGUCAGAAUGGUCCUUCAAAAUAUGCUGGAGAUGAUCUUCAGCAGAAUGGCAAUCCGUAUCGAUCUUCUAAUAAAGAGAACAUGCUUUUAUUCAAGUCCAGUUCUUCCAUCCCAUCUAGAGGUGGUGCA
RNAcentral lists this unclassified non-coding RNA (249 nucleotides) under Hevea brasiliensis (rubber tree). The record is from RNAcentral. Lineage: Eukaryota; Viridiplantae; Streptophyta; Magnoliopsida; Malpighiales; Euphorbiaceae.